RNAcentral lists this long non-coding RNA (520 nucleotides) under Ictidomys tridecemlineatus (thirteen-lined ground squirrel). RNAcentral describes it as "lncRNA (ENSSTOG00000034545.1)". Lineage: Eukaryota; Metazoa; Chordata; Mammalia; Rodentia; Sciuridae. The record is from RNAcentral.
CAAGCCUUGAAGGUAUUUACUCCGUCCAUGGAAUAAUUUUUUUUUGAGGAAGAGGGAAAACAUGAGCACUGAGCUCAGUUCACAUCAAUUCCCAUGAGCUCAGAACAGUAUAGCAGCCAAGUUAGCAGAAGAGGAAACGGCUCCUUUAAGUAUUCUGGGAAAUGUAGUUCAGACGCUCCUGGACACGCAUGUACUUCCGCUCCGACAGGCGGGUCCUGGGAAUUCUGGGAAAUGUAGUCCACACGAUCUGUGGCCUGCGGGUGUCUCUGCCUACAAGGGCGAAUGCCGUGAAUUCCGGGAAGUGUUUUCGGGAAGCAGGCUUUUCUCCCUGCCUGAGUGGAGGCAGAGGUAGUCGACUUCUUGACAGCUGGCAGCAAAGCUCCUGGCACAGUUCUGCUCUCCUGAUAUCGACGUGCCUUAGGACUCUGCCUAUUCCAUGAGGAGGAGGGAAAAUGACCACAUUCAAUGUGAGUAAGGCUUGUUUUUCUCACUGUAAAACUUCCAUCCUGCAACUCAUAUU